Molecule: ribosomal RNA, 301 nt
Filed under: uncultured bacterium
Lineage: Bacteria
Description: partial 16S ribosomal RNA
Rfam family: Bacterial small subunit ribosomal RNA
Source: RNAcentral
CAGCAGCCGCGGGAAUACGGAGGGGGCUAGCGUUGUUCGGAAUUACUGGGCGUAAAGCGCGCGUAGGUGGUUCGCCAAGUUGGAUGUGAAAUCCCCGGGCUCAACCUGGGAACUGCAUCCAAAACUGGCGAGCUAGAGUAUGGUAGAGGGUGGUGGAAUUUCCUGUGUAGCGGUGAAAUGCGUAGAUAUAGGAAGGAACAUCAGUGGCGAAGGCGACCACCUGGACUGAUACUGACACUGAGGUGCGAAAGCGUGGGGAGCAAACAGGAUUAGAUACCCCAGUAGUCCCUGUCUCUUAUAC